CAGGACUCUUUGGAUCACUGAAAUAAAAGAAUAAUAAUAAUAAUCUCAGACACCUGUGAUAAAUGGUCUUCCAGGUGAGUUCAAUUAAAGGACAAACUACUAAAGAAGGAUGUUCCCCAUUAUUAAGCAGACCAGCAUUUUUAAGCAAUACGGGGAAGAAAAAGGAUCUCUCUGCUGCCCUUGUUACCCCAUGGCAGUCCCCUUGAAUGAGACCCUCAAUCUCAGUUGCCUCAGUGGAGCCUCUCAGUGGUGACAGUUGAACUGAAGGAGGAGGAGAUUUUCACACUGCUGAUGUGGUUUCCCAUCCGGGACAGAUUUCAGGCUACUUCUAAGCUAAAGAGCCCUUGACAGCGCUGUAUGGCCCCUAUCUUGCCACAGGCAUAUGGAGCAUGGCGCAGGUGGUGCAAGUGUGUUUCCUAAUUUCCUGCUGGUGCAGUUGACUAUUUCCAUGUCAUCUACAUCCUGUUGUCUUGGUACCGAGCAAGAGUCGCCUUCAUCCUGGCAGGUGAGUCUGGAUGGGAAGAGGCCUGUUCAACUUCAUCAUGGCUGGUUUGCAAACGUUAACGAGAAAAUGGUGACUGCGUCGCCGACCAGCAUAAAGUCGAUCAUGGUUAUUUACAGACAAUUUCACCAGGUACUGAUGUGUGCGGGACUGUGAUCCCCUCAGAUAUGCAUGAAAAAAUUAGCAAAAACAAUGAUGUGGUGUCUUCUGGGUUGUGCAGAUUUCUAUAUUUAUAAGACAUGUUUCUCUUCUCAGCCCGUAAUACAGCUGUGAUAUAUCAUUAA
Oryzias melastigma (Indian medaka) is the source of this 786-nucleotide long non-coding RNA. RefSeq lists it as uncharacterized. The record is from RefSeq and is a predicted model, not a curated record. Lineage: Eukaryota; Metazoa; Chordata; Actinopteri; Beloniformes; Adrianichthyidae. The transcript is spliced from 3 exons.